GAACGCACAUUGCGCCCCGUGGUAUUCCGCGGGGCAUGCCUGUUCGAGCGUCAUUACAACCCUCAAGCUCUGCUUGGUGUUGGGUCCCGCCCGCUGCGGCCGGCCCUAAACCCAGUGGCGGUGCCGUCUGGCCCUAAGCGUAGUACUUCUCUCGCUCCAGGGUCCCGGCGGUGGCCUGCCAGAACCCCACACUCUUAUGGUUGACCUCGGAUCAGGUAGGGAUACCCGCUGAACUUAAG
Molecule: unclassified non-coding RNA, 239 nt
Filed under: Byssoascus striatosporus
Lineage: Eukaryota; Fungi; Ascomycota; Leotiomycetes; Myxotrichaceae
Description: sequence contains 5.8S rRNA gene
Rfam family: 5.8S ribosomal RNA (bases 1-53)
Source: RNAcentral